GGAGUUCUUUGGGAUAAGUGUUGCCUCUAAAUCAAGAGCUAUAGAAUAUCUCAUAAAUCAAGACAUAAUGUGGUAGUGUCAAGUCUUGCUCGUGGGGCAUAACUAGUUAUUUGAAAAUCUUUGAGCUAAGUCUUGCCUUUAUGGUAAGAGUUAUAGAGUAUCUUAUACAUUAGGAUAUAAUGAAGUAGUGUUAGCUCUUGCCU
Molecule: long non-coding RNA, 203 nt
Filed under: Capsicum annuum
Lineage: Eukaryota; Viridiplantae; Streptophyta; Magnoliopsida; Solanales; Solanaceae
Description: long non-coding RNA (CANN_LNC018998)
Source: RNAcentral